GAUGAAGAACGUAGCGAAAUGCGAUAAGUAGUGUGAAUUGCAGAAUUCAGUGAAUCAUCGAAUCUUUGAACGCACAUUGCGCCCUUUGGUAUUCCAAAGGGCAUGCCUGUUCGAGCGUCAUUUGUACCCUCAAGCUUUGCUUGGUGUUGGGCGUCUUGUCUCUAGCUUUGCUGGAGACUCGCCUUAUAGUAAUUGGCAGCCGGCCUACUGGUUUCGGAGCGCAGCACAAGUCGCACUCUCUAUCAGCAAAGGUCUAGCAUCCAUUAAGCCUUUUUUUCAACUUUUGACCUCGGAUCAGGUAGGGAUACCCGCUGAACUUAAGCAUAUCAAUAAGCGGAGGA
Molecule: unclassified non-coding RNA, 341 nt
Filed under: soil metagenome
Description: partial contains 5.8S ribosomal RNA, internal transcribed spacer 2, and large subunit ribosomal RNA
Rfam family: 5.8S ribosomal RNA (bases 1-120)
Source: RNAcentral